UGGGGAAUAUUGGACAAUGGGCGCAAGCCUGAUCCAGCAAUGCCGCGUGUGUGAAGAAGGCCUUCGGGUUGUACAGCACUUUUAUCAGGAGCGAAACGCUGUCGGCUAAUACCCGGCGGAACUGACGGUACCUGAGGAAUAAGCACCGGCUAACUUCGUGCCAGCAGCCGCGGUAAUACGAAGGGUGCAAGCGUUAAUCGGAAUUACUGGGCGUAAAGCGUGCGUAGGCGGUUUCUUAAGUCUGCUGUGAAAUCCCCGGGCUCAACCUGGGAAUGGCAGUGGAUACUGGGAGGCUAGAGUGUGUCGGAGGGUGGUGGAAUUCCCGGUGUAGCGGUGAAAUGCGUAGAGAUCGGGAGGAACAUCAGUGGCGAAGGCGGCCACCUGGGACAACACUGACGCUGAGGCACGAAAGCGUGGGGAGCAAACAGGAUUAGAUACCCUGGUAGUCCACGCCCUAAAAGCGAUGCGAACUGGAUGUUGGUCUCAACUCGGAGAUCAGUGUCGAAGCUAACGCGUUAAGUUCGCCGCCUGGGGGAGUACGGUCGCAAGACUGAAACUUAAAUGAAUUGACGGGGUCAUAGCUGUUUCCUG
Molecule: ribosomal RNA, 591 nt
Filed under: uncultured bacterium
Lineage: Bacteria
Description: partial 16S ribosomal RNA
Rfam family: Bacterial small subunit ribosomal RNA
Source: RNAcentral